RNAcentral lists this long non-coding RNA (645 nucleotides) under Elaeis guineensis (African oil palm). Its description in RNAcentral is "long non-coding RNA (EGUI_LNC073907)". The record is from RNAcentral. Lineage: Eukaryota; Viridiplantae; Streptophyta; Magnoliopsida; Arecales; Arecaceae.
UACAUAUCGAUGAAUUCUGAUGCCCGAUUACCCAUCGGAUUUGGACUCAAUAUUUAUGAGAGGUUUAAUUAGUGAUUUGAUUGCUAAUUAACUCAAUUUGAUUGAGUAAUUAAUUUUGGAUCAAGUCUAAUUGAAUUGGAUUCAGUUGGAUUUGACCCGAUUAGGUUAAGAGUUGACCUAAUCGUCGAGAUGGUUUGGUCUCUGAUUUGAUCAGGGGUUGGGCUUAAUCAAUUUUUGAUUUGAUUAAGAUUUUAUUGAGCCUAAUUAAGCCUAAUUUAGUUGGGUUUAAAUUAGUCUAAUUGGGCCUAACUUAUUUGGUUCAAUUAGGUUGGUUUAAAUAAUGAAACCACCUUGACCCAUUCUCCCUGCGCCACCUCACUUCCACUGCGCCCAUUUGAAUCACAUGAAGGAAGGUCUCAUAAAUUUUUCCUCAUGCAAAGCCCUCCUCACGCCCUACUUUAAUGCACCAAAUGAGUGGAUAAGGAUGAUUAGUUGGCCAUUCAAAUUCAAAACAAAAGUUUGAAUUUGAAUGAGCAACCAAUCUUAGUGCCUUGACCUUAUCCUCUUUUAACGCCCCAUUUAUUACACGAGAAAAUAUUUCUCAUGAAAUCACUCACACACAAAUUAAGCCAUGCCCUCCUCUUC